RNAcentral lists this long non-coding RNA (489 nucleotides) under Androctonus crassicauda. Lineage: Eukaryota; Metazoa; Arthropoda; Arachnida; Scorpiones; Buthidae. The record is from RNAcentral.
ACCAAGUUGGUCGAACGACCCACUAUCCUACAAGAAGUCGGCGUUUAGGAGUUGGUAUAGAAGGGGUAUAAGGUAUUGUAAAGAAAAAGAAGAUCUCAAAGAGGAAUUGAACUUCAUAAAAACAGUAGGAAUGCAGCAUGGAUAUAGUGAAACCUUUUACAGAGGGUGUGGAACCAAGUUAGUAUGAGUAGGAAAGAAAAUACGGGAGCAGCUAGAACGGAGAAAGAUUUUAUGAUGGUCCCACACCGUAUGAAAAAUCAUAAUGUGGUGGGGGGGACUGCUGGGAAGAGUGGCGGACGAGUGGCAUAUGAGAGGAGCCCGACAAUCUUUAACAUUUUAAGAAAUGAAAGGGACCCAAAAUGGGAAAGGGGGAGUGUGCAGAGUGCCUUUAGUGGAUAGUGGUGCAGAUGAGGAGUUGGCGUGUAUAGGAGUUACAGCAGGGACGGUGGGAAGACGUAUGGAAGAGCGCAGGGGGGAUAUUGGGAGGGC